GAUGAACGCUGGCGGCGUGCCUAAUACAUGCAAGUCGAGCGAACAGACGAGGAGCUUGCUCCUCUGACGUUAGCGGCGGACGGGUGAGUAACACGUGGAUAACCUACCUAUAAGUCUGGGAUAACUUCGGGAAACCGGAGCUAAUACCGGAUAAUAUAUUGAACCGCAUGGUUCAAUAGUGAAAGACGGUUUUGCUGUCACUUAUAGAUGGAUCCGCGCCGCAUUAGCUAGUUGGUAAGGUAACGGCUUACCAAGGCAACGAUGCGUAGCCGACCUGAGAGGGUGAUCGGCCACACUGGAACUGAGACACGGUCCAGACUCCUACGGGAGGCAGCAGUAGGGAAUAUGCCGCAAUGGGCGAAAGCCUGACGGAGCAACGCCGCGUGAGUGAUGAAGGUCUUCGGAUCGUAAAACUCUGUUAUUAGGGAAGAACAAAUGUGUAAGUAACUAUGCACGUCUUGACGGUACCUAAUCAGAAAGCCACGGCUAACUACGUG
RNAcentral lists this ribosomal RNA (497 nucleotides) under uncultured bacterium. RNAcentral's name for it is "partial 16S ribosomal RNA". It matches the Rfam family "Bacterial small subunit ribosomal RNA", at positions 28 to 507 of the family's 1533-position model. The record is from RNAcentral.